CUGCAGGAGCUGAGGGCGUCUGAUCAGGGGAGCUACACAGUGAGGGAUCUUCAGGGAAACACCAUCAGCACUGCGAUCGUCACUGUGGAGGCUCCACUCACUCUCCCGGUCUGAGAAUUGAGAGGCUCAGAGAGACGGACUGUCCUACUGCACCACCAGAGACGGAGGAGAGAUCCCCAUCAGAAGAGGCACCAGACUGCUUACAGCUGUGUGGGGGUGAGUUCAAACUGGGAAGAGAGCCAGACUGAUACCUCGAGGAGGCAAGAGAAGUGGUCCUGUGAGGCUGCUUGUGCUCUGUGUGGGACAUCCUGAUGGUGGGUCAAGGGCAGAUGAAGGAGGUGGGUGGAAGUUGGAGCUUGCUCUUGGAUGGGUCAUAUCUACACUUCAUUACACAAAGGCUGGUGGAGGUGGGGAACAAGCUGCCCGGCCAUGUUGUUGAACCCUGGCUUCUCUCAAGAUCCUCCAGACUUGUAACUACUAACUGC
Molecule: non-coding RNA, 485 nt
Organism: Lepisosteus oculatus (spotted gar)
Lineage: Eukaryota; Metazoa; Chordata; Actinopteri; Semionotiformes; Lepisosteidae
Source: RefSeq, a predicted model, not a curated record